CCUUCUCAAGAAUCUUAAACACGAUUCCAUGAUUCGAUUCUACACAUCUUGGGUUGAUAUCAAUCGUAGAACUUUCAACUUCAUCACUGAGAUGUUCACAUCUGGCACACUUCGAGAGUAACCAUAUAAGACUUUACUAUCUAUUGCAAAAGUUACAUUCCUGUUGUUUUAGGUGUAAAUUUUAACAUGUUUGAUGUAAUAUAGGUAUAGACAGAAGUACCCGCGCGUCGACAUGCGAGCGGUUAAGAGCUGGGCUCGCCAAAUUCUGCAGGGUCUAGCUUAUCUACAUGGUCAUGACCCUCCGGUGAUCC
RNAcentral lists this long non-coding RNA (311 nucleotides) under Gossypium barbadense (sea-island cotton). RNAcentral describes it as "long non-coding RNA (GBAR_LNC019859)". The record is from RNAcentral. Lineage: Eukaryota; Viridiplantae; Streptophyta; Magnoliopsida; Malvales; Malvaceae.